Molecule: transfer RNA, 73 nt
Filed under: Curculionoidea sp. 18 KM-2017
Lineage: Eukaryota; Metazoa; Arthropoda; Insecta; Coleoptera
Description: tRNA-Tyr
Source: RNAcentral
GGUAAAAUGACUGAAUUUUAAGUGAUAAAUUGUAAAUUUAUUUAUGAAAUAUAAAUAUGUAUUUCUUUUACUA